Molecule: transfer RNA, 67 nt
Filed under: Marmota monax (woodchuck)
Lineage: Eukaryota; Metazoa; Chordata; Mammalia; Rodentia; Sciuridae
Description: tRNA.Ala
Source: RNAcentral
GGUUGUGGCUCAGUGGCAGAGCACUCACCUAGCAUGUGCAAGGCCCUGGGUUCAAUCCUUAGCACCA